AACUGCCUUACUUUAACACUAUCAAAUUCAUUUCAUAAUCUGCUAUUUUGGAAAAAAAUGUAUAUAUAUAUAUGAACUAGUUAAAACUAGGUACGUAACUUAUAUUAGUUCAGAUAAGAUCUGACCUAAUCCAAAACAAAGAAAUUAAAAUAACCAGCUUUUGGAAUUACUACUAAUAAUUUAUACCAAGAUAUGCUCUAGCCUCUAGGCAAAGAAAAAAGAAUCAUUAGAAUCCUGAAUAUAUCAUGGGAAUUAUUAAUUAUUGCAUAAAAAACUAAGUUAUUAGACAGUGGGAAGUGAUUCAGUUGUUGAUUUGCCAGCUUGUUGAAAGCCUCCUAUUGUUACU
This 346-nucleotide long non-coding RNA is filed under the name Panax ginseng (ginseng). RNAcentral describes it as "long non-coding RNA (PGIN_LNC010306)". Lineage: Eukaryota; Viridiplantae; Streptophyta; Magnoliopsida; Apiales; Araliaceae. The record is from RNAcentral.